RNAcentral lists this ribosomal RNA (497 nucleotides) under uncultured bacterium. RNAcentral's name for it is "partial 16S ribosomal RNA". It matches the Rfam family "Bacterial small subunit ribosomal RNA", at positions 28 to 507 of the family's 1533-position model. The record is from RNAcentral.
GAUGAACGCUGGCGGCGUGCCUAAUACAUGCAAGUCGAGCGAACGGACGAGAAGCUUGCUUCUCUGAUGUUAGCGGCGGACGGGUGAGUAACACGUGGAUAACCUACCUAUAAGACUGGGAUAACUUCGGGAAACCGGAGCUAAUACCGGAUAAUAUUUUGAACCGCAUGGUUCAAAAGUGAAAGACGGUCUUGCUGUCACUUAUAGAUGGAUCCGCGCUGCAUUAGCUAGUUGGUAAGGUAACGGCUUACCAAGGCAACGAUGCAUAGCCGACCUGAGAGGGUGGACGGACACACGGGAAGUGAGACACGGUACAGACUCCGACGGGAGGCAGCAGUAGGGAAUCUUCCGCGAUGGGCGAAAGCCGGACGGAGCAACGCCGCGUGAGUGAUGAAGGUCUUAGGAUCGUAGAACUCUGUUAUUAGGGAAGAACAUAUGUGUAAGUAACUGUGCACAUCUUGACGGUACCUAAUCAGAAAGCCACGGCUAACUACGUG